Molecule: long non-coding RNA, 611 nt
Organism: Gossypium arboreum
Lineage: Eukaryota; Viridiplantae; Streptophyta; Magnoliopsida; Malvales; Malvaceae
Exons: 2
Source: RefSeq, a predicted model, not a curated record
UUGUUGUAGACAAAAUGUACACUUGAUAUCCAUAAUUUAUGGUACAAAUUGAUACAAAUUGAUAAUAGGUUAGGUAAAUGUUCCAUGAUAAUGGGUUAGGUAAAUGUUUCAUGAUAAUAGGUUAGGUAAAUGUUCCAUGAUAAUGGGUUAGGUAAAUGUUUCAUGAUAAUGGGUUAGGUAAAUGUUUCAUGAUAAGAAUAUCAUGUAUUUUGUAUUAAAGAAUUAAAUGGAUGAAAUAUGAAGUUUUAUUAAAAGAAAAGGGUGAAAAGAACAAAGUUUUGUCCAUCUUUGUUCAUCAUAGCUGAAAGUUAGAGAAGAGAAAGGAGAGGAGAAAGCUCUUGAGUAUUCGGUCAUUAGGAGGAGGAAAAUUGAAGGAAAUCCCCAACCAUAAUGGGCUUGGAGCUGUGAGGGAAUUCGGAUUGGCCACGUGUUCUGAAAGUUUGGUUUUCUUCUAGUGAACUGGACAUCCUAUUAUUUACGUUGAGGUUUGGGUUUUUAAAUGUAAUAAGGGCGCUUAAUUAUUUUUGAUGGUUUUUAUAUGUUUUAUUAAGAUAGGUAACAUUUAAAUUUAACUGUUGAAAUUGGAUAGCUUUACGGCGCGUUUUCAAAAA